CGGGACGUAGCUCAGCUUGGUAGAGCACUUGGUUUGGGACCAAGGGGUCGCAGGUUCGAAUCCUGUCGUCCCGA
Molecule: non-coding RNA, 74 nt
Organism: Pilibacter termitis
Lineage: Bacteria; Bacillati; Bacillota; Bacilli; Lactobacillales; Enterococcaceae
Source: Rfam